GAUUAACGCUAGCGGCAGGCCUAAUACAUGCAAGUCGAACGGCAGCACGGGUAGUAAUACCUGGUGGCGAGUGGCGCACGGGUGAGUAACACGUAUGCAAUCUACCUUUAACUGGGGAAUAACCCUUCGAAAGAAGGGCUAAUACCGCAUAACACUGCGAUGGGGAUUCCCAAUGCAGUUAAACCUGAGGGGUUAAGAAUGAGCAUGCGUCCGAUUAGUUAGUUGGCGAGGUAAUGGCUCACCAAGACUUCG
This 252-nucleotide ribosomal RNA is filed under the name uncultured bacterium. RNAcentral's name for it is "partial 16S ribosomal RNA". It matches the Rfam family "Bacterial small subunit ribosomal RNA", at positions 28 to 278 of the family's 1533-position model. The record is from RNAcentral.